GGGAUAAGCCUGGGAAACUGGGUCUAAUACCGGAUAGGACCACACACUUCAUGGUGAGUGGUGCAAAGCUUUUGCGGUGUGGGAUGAGCCCGCGGCCUAUCAGCUUGUUGGUGGGGUAAUGGCCCACCAAGGCGACGACGGGUAGCCGGCCUGAGAGGGUGUCCGGCCACACUGGGACUGAGAUACGGCCCAGACUCCUACGGGAGGCAGCAGUGGGGAAUAUUGCACAAUGGGCGCAAGCCUGAUGCAGCGACGCCGCGUGGGGGAUGACGGCCUUCGGGUUGUAAACCUCUUUCACUAUCGACGAAGCGAAAGUGACGGUACCUACAGAAGAAGGACCGGCCAACUACGUGCCAGCAGCCGCGGUAAUACGUAGGGUCCGAGCGUUGUCCGGAAUUACUGGGCGUAAAGAGCUCGUAGGUGGUUUGUCGCGUUGUUCGUGAAAACUCACAGCUUAACUGUGGGCGUGCGGGCGAUACGGGCAGACUA
This 489-nucleotide ribosomal RNA is filed under the name Mycobacteroides abscessus. Its description in RNAcentral is "bacterial SSU rRNA". It matches the Rfam family "Bacterial small subunit ribosomal RNA", at positions 140 to 643 of the family's 1533-position model. Lineage: Bacteria; Bacillati; Actinomycetota; Actinomycetes; Mycobacteriales; Mycobacteriaceae. The record is from RNAcentral.